Molecule: ribosomal RNA, 724 nt
Filed under: uncultured eukaryote
Lineage: Eukaryota
Description: SSU rRNA
Rfam family: Eukaryotic small subunit ribosomal RNA
Source: RNAcentral
UGAGUAACUGCGCUCCUGAGCUGUUGUACCGGUUUUCCAUGGUUUGCUUUAAUCGGCAGGCUGUGGUGGCUGGGUGUGUUUACCUUGAAUAAAUCAAAAUGCUCAGGAUAGCGUCUCCGCCUGAAUGACAGUGCAUGGAAUAAUGGGAAUAAGACUUCGGGUUUAUUCUGUGGUCUUGGCACCGAUGUAAUGGUAGAGGGAACUGACCGGGGCAUUGUAUCCGAUGCUGAUGAGGUGAAAUUCUGGGACCGCAUCGAGACAAACUACUGCGAAAGCAUUGGCCAAGAAUGUCUUCAUUAAUCAAGAACGAAAGUCAGAGGAUCGAAGGCGAUUAGAUACCGCCCUAGUUCUGACCGUAAACGAUGCCAACUAGCGAUCAGGCGGUGGCUAUUAAACCCUGCCUGGGAGCUUCCCGGAAACGAAAGUUUUCGGGUUCCGGGGGUAGUAUGGUUGCAAAGCUGAAACUUAAAGGAAUUGACGGAAGGGCACCACCAGGAGUGGAGCCGCGGCUUAAUUUGACUCAACACGGGAAAACUCACCCGGCCCGGACACUGUAAUGAUUGACAGAUUGAGAGUUCUUUCUUGAUUCGGUGGUUGGUGGUGCAUGGCCGUUCUUAGUUGGUGGAGUGAUUUGUCUGGUUUAUUCCGAUAACGAACGAGACUCUAACCUGCUAAAUAGUUCUGCAGUAGCUUCGCUGCAGCAACUUCUUAGAGGGAUCAGUGG